AAUUAAAUAUAAUAAAUGAACAGAGAAAGUUACCCUAAUUUCUGGGCCGACAAGCUUCCUUCUCUAUUAUAUGGAUGUAGCUCUUCUUGUUGUUCCUCAGAUUUAGAAUGGAUAUAGGUUUUGUUGAUCUCUGGUGUUUGUUGAGAAUUGAAGUUGAUAUUUUACUGUUAAGUGUAGUAGCAGCAUCAUCAAAAUACAACAUAAGCAACUGCGAAGAUUUUGUAUGGGUUAUAACCAAAGACGACCUUUUGGAAUUCUUUCCUGAGCAAGCUGAAUUCUUCAAUAAGAUGAUCAUUAGCUGAGUCACUCUCACCAGAAUAUUACUAUUUUAAUCCUUUCUGGGAUCAAGAGCAGGAAGAAGAGGCAAGACAACCAUGGUUAAGGAUCCACUAGUGGGAGGAGAAAAAUUAAUAACAAGUUAGUGAGGGUCUUGAGAUUUAAAAUAAUAUUAAUUAAAACUUAAAGACAUCAUCAAAGUAAAACUAAUGUGGAUGCUCAAUGGUAGUUGACUUGUAUUAUCGUCUUUUGAAAAAUAUAGCACAACGUCUCCAAAUCAGAGUCGUAUGCUUUUCA
Long non-coding RNA from Camelina sativa (false flax), 573 nucleotides. RefSeq lists it as uncharacterized. Lineage: Eukaryota; Viridiplantae; Streptophyta; Magnoliopsida; Brassicales; Brassicaceae. The record is from RefSeq and is a predicted model, not a curated record.